RNAcentral lists this ribosomal RNA (468 nucleotides) under uncultured bacterium. RNAcentral's name for it is "partial 16S ribosomal RNA". It matches the Rfam family "Bacterial small subunit ribosomal RNA", at positions 28 to 507 of the family's 1533-position model. The record is from RNAcentral.
GACGAACGCUGGCGGCGUGCUUAACACAUGCAAGUCGAACGGAAAGGCGCUGCUUUUGUGGGGUGCUCGAGUGGCGAACGGGUGAGUAACACGUGAGUAACCUGCCCUUGACUUUGGGAUAACUUCAGGAAAAUGGGGCUAAUAUCGGAUAGGAGCUCCUGCUGCAUGGUGGGGGUUGGAAAGUUUCGGCGGUUGGGGAUGGACUCGAGGCUUAUCAGCUUGUUGGUGUGGUAGUGGCUGACCAAGGGUUUGACGGGUAGCCGGCCUGAGAGGGUGACCGGGCACAUUGGGACUGAGAUACGGCCCAGACGCCUACGGGAGGCAGCAGUGGAGAAUAUUGCGCAAUGGGCGGAAGUCUGAUGCAGCAACGCCGCGUGCGGGAUGACGGCCUUCGGGUUGUAAACCUCUUUCGCCUGUGACGAAGCGUGAGUGACGGUAAUGGGUAAGAAAGCAACGGCUAACUACGUG